AACAACGGAUCUUCCUUGGUUCUGGCAUCGAUGAAGAACGCAGCAAAAUGCGAUAAGUAGUAUGUUGAAUUGCAGAAUUCAGUGAAUCAUCGAAUCUUUGAACGCACAUUGCGCCCGCCAGUAUUCUGGCGGGCAUGCC
Molecule: ribosomal RNA, 139 nt
Filed under: Fusarium culmorum
Lineage: Eukaryota; Fungi; Ascomycota; Sordariomycetes; Hypocreales; Nectriaceae
Description: 5.8S ribosomal RNA
Rfam family: 5.8S ribosomal RNA
About the family: 5.8S ribosomal RNA (5.8S rRNA) is a component of the large subunit of the eukaryotic ribosome. It is transcribed by RNA polymerase I as part of the 45S precursor that also contains 18S and 28S rRNA. Functionally, it is thought that 5.8S rRNA may be involved in ribosome translocation.
Source: RNAcentral